GAUAUGGCUCAGGAUGAACGCUAGCUACAGGCUUAACACAUGCAAGUCGAGGGGCAGCAUGAACUUAGCUUGCUAAGUUUGAUGGCGACCGGCGCACGGGUGAGUAACACGUAUCCAACCUGCCGAUGACUCGGGGAUAGCCUUUCUAAAGAAAUAUUAAUACCCGAUGGCAUAGUUCUUCCGCAUGGUAGAACUAUUAAAGAAUUUCGGUCAUCGAUGGGGAUGCGUUCCAUUUAGG
Molecule: ribosomal RNA, 238 nt
Filed under: uncultured bacterium
Lineage: Bacteria
Description: partial 16S ribosomal RNA
Rfam family: Bacterial small subunit ribosomal RNA
Source: RNAcentral